AUACUCACUCCUGAACUCAGUGUAUAGAACUGGAAUAAAAGUUAGUUGCCCUUGCAGGCUCUGAGUCAGGCUGUCAAGCCCGUAGACCAGCUAUGGGCCAUGUCCUGCCCAGGCAUUCCAGGCAGGAGGAAGAGUUUGAGCAAACUCCAAAAGGGAAGAGGUGGCCAGGCCCUUUUGAAGAACUGCUGGCAGUUCAGUGAGACUGGAAUUUAUUCAUGUGGACAGAGGAUGUGGAGGUUAAGAAGUUCCAAGAUCUGCAGAUGGCAAGCUGGAGACCCAGGAGAUUUGAUGGUGUAAUUCCAGUCCAAGUCCAAAGGCCUGAGAACUAGGAGAGCUGUUGGUGCAAGUUCCGGUCAGAAAGCCAGCAGGUUCAGGAUCAAGGAAGAGCUGAUGUUUCAGUUCAAAUCCAAAAAACAGAAAACAAUGGAUGUCCCAGCUCACAGCAGUCAGGCAGGAGGAGUUCUCUCUAUUCAUGGGACGGUGAGCCUUUUUGUUCUAUUCAGGCCUUCAGCUGAUGGAAUGAGGUUAACCCACAUUAGGGAGG
RNAcentral lists this long non-coding RNA (544 nucleotides) under Homo sapiens (human). Its description in RNAcentral is "HSALNT0364938". Lineage: Eukaryota; Metazoa; Chordata; Mammalia; Primates; Hominidae. The record is from RNAcentral.